ACUCCAUAUAAAAUAAACAAACGGAAAUAGUUACCGAAAUGUGUUUGCUUCGUCAAAACUUGUUUUUUCAAUCUAGGAAAAUUUACACUUCGGGACGCCCAUUGAGAGCACAAUCACAGUCGCCGUGCAACAAGUCAUUUUCUAAUAAUCGCCAAACUUCUAAUUGUAACUGAGUGUUUGUUAGUGUUAGUGAUGUUGCUCACAUGUAUUUACUCUGGGUGGGAAAAAAUAAAGUGUUUGUGGACGCAUAACAACACAAUCAAUUUGUUCGAAAUAAAAAGGUUUGUGAAACAAUGUGUUGUGCUUUUAGUCUGCAACUACAACAACAAUGUUUGGAUACAAGUGGAAGAUGCUGACAAAGGCUUUUGCAAAGUUGCGCUUAUUUAUAACAGUGAAUAUACUACAAAAUCUAAAUAUUGGUAUAAAUAAAUGCUGAAUGCUUUCUCUUUUUAAA
Long non-coding RNA from Stomoxys calcitrans (stable fly), 454 nucleotides. RefSeq lists it as uncharacterized. The record is from RefSeq and is a predicted model, not a curated record. The transcript is spliced from 2 exons. Lineage: Eukaryota; Metazoa; Arthropoda; Insecta; Diptera; Muscidae.